RNAcentral lists this ribosomal RNA (506 nucleotides) under uncultured bacterium. Its description in RNAcentral is "SSU rRNA". It matches the Rfam family "Bacterial small subunit ribosomal RNA", at positions 26 to 521 of the family's 1533-position model. The record is from RNAcentral.
AGGACGAACGCUGGCGGCGUGCCUAACACAUGCAAGUCGAGCGGAAAGGCCUCCUUCGGGAGGUACUCGAGCGGCGAACGGGUGAGUAACACGUGGGCAACCAACCCCUCACAUCGGGAUACCCCGGGGAAACUCGGAUCAAUACCGGAUAAUGCGCGACGCUGUUGGGCGUCGCACCAAAGGUAGCUUCGGCCUCUGGUGAGGGACGGGCCCGCGGCCCAUUAGCUUGUUGGUGGGGUAAUGGCCUACCAAGGCAACGAUGGGUAGCUGGUCUGAGAGGAUGAUCAGCCACACUGGGACUGAGAUACGGCCCAGACUCCUACGGGAGGCAGCAGUGGGGAAUAUUGCGCAAUGGGCGGAAGCCUGACGCAGCAACGCCGCGUGCGGGAGAAGGCCUUCGGGCGUAAACCGCUUUCAGGGGGGACGAAGCCACCAGGGUUAAUAGCCCAUGGGGUGACGGUACUCCCAGAAGAAGCCCCGGCUAACUACGUGCCAGCAGCCGCGGU